This is a long non-coding RNA of Gasterosteus aculeatus aculeatus (three-spined stickleback), 1150 nucleotides long. NCBI's taxonomy places the organism in Eukaryota, Metazoa, Chordata, Actinopteri, Perciformes, Gasterosteidae. The record is from Ensembl.
UGCAGACCGCGCAUGCGCAGCAGAUGCGGAAGUGGUCGGUGUAGCAGGGAAUGUCUCACUCAGUCCGGUAUCCGACCGAUACAGACAUGCUCUGUCAACAAUAGCGGCGCUUUAUUCGCUUACGUGGACCAGGCAGCGUAGAGGUAGUGCGCGUCUAUUCUCUCCCGGUAGCUAAAAUACAUAUAUAUCAAAACCAAAUCGUAAGUUACUACUUAUCCCUCGCUUUAAAGAGAGGGCACGAGCUAGUUGCUAAGCUAAUGCUAGCAAGGUGUAGGAUUUCAGGAAGUUUCCACCUGCCUUACCUUCACCUGGCUACUGUAAGCGUAGCCUGCGAGCUAACAGGCCGUAAAGCAACGUAAGGUAAUGAGUUUGGGCCCAGUGUCAACGGUGGAGGUGACAGUUAGAUGGCUGUCACGGCAUAUGUGCUUUAAUAUACAGUACAGCAGUGGGUUAAUUAUUAGAUCAGAAUGUACAGUAUUUUUAUAUUGAAGUAUUUUGCCCUAUUUUAUUUUAAUCGUUGUCUUUGGGGAUACUGCAAUUGAAAAUACAUUUGGCAUUUUAAUCACUUUUUAUACUUCGUGUAAUUACCCUUCAAUGCAUUCAUGUGUACAUGGUACACGCUUUGCAGUGUUCUAAUAUACGUGGGGAUAGUUCUAUAGUAUUCUGCCCAGGUCAAAGAUUGCAGGAUACUUUUCCUCCCAAGACACAACACAUUUCCUUGUUUUAGAUGUUUUUCUUCAGGUUCAUCCUGUUCCUUUUUCCUCUGUUAAUAUGUUCGUAAUGUUCGUCAAACUUCUAACCCCACAGGCAAACAACUUUUGUUUGUUUUUGCUAUUGCUUCAACAAAGCACCCAAGUCAACCUUUAAUACACACAAGCAGCAUUGUCACAUGCGUCUUCUGAUCUUAACCACAGUAUAUAAAUAUCACCAAUGCAACAAUUCCAAGAAAUGUAUUCAUAGCACAGUGCUUAAAAAUGCAUUGGUAAAAACACUGUAUAUUGGGAUAAUACUUAACUAACUGAAUUGGGGAUCAGCACAAUGGGGCCAAUUGGUACAGUUUGUACUGUAUACAUUAUAUGCUUACAUUUUUACCAUUUUAAAUCAUCGUCCAAGUAAAUUUUUCCAAAAAUAUGAGUCAAUUGUGUAGGAU